This 140-nucleotide ribosomal RNA is filed under the name uncultured bacterium. RNAcentral describes it as "partial 16S ribosomal RNA". It matches the Rfam family "Bacterial small subunit ribosomal RNA", at positions 355 to 509 of the family's 1533-position model. The record is from RNAcentral.
UGGGGAAUAUUGCACAAUGGGGGAAACCCGUGAUGCAGCGACGCCGCGUGAGCGAAGAAGUAUUUCGGUAUGUAAAGCUCUAUCAGCAGGGAAGAAAAAAUGACGGUACCUGACUAAGAAGCACCGGCUAACUACGUGCC